AUUGAACGCUGGCGGCAUGCUUUACACAUGCAAGUCGAACGGUAACAGGCCGCAAGGUGCUGACGAGUGGCGCAAGGGUGAGUAAUGCAUCGGAACGUGCCCAGUCGUGGGGGAUAACUACUCGAAAGAGUAGCUAAUACCGCAUACGAUCUAUGGAUGAAAGCGGGGGACCGUAAGGCCUCGCGCGAUUGGAGCGGCCGAUGGCAGAUUAGGUAGUUGGUGGGGUAAAGGCUCACCAAGCCAACGAUCUGUAGCUGGUCUGAGAGGACAACCAGCCACACUGGGAUUGAGACACGGCCCAUACUCCUACGGGAGGCAGCAGUGGGGAAUUUUGGACAAUGGGCGCAAGCCUGAUCCAGCAAUGCCGCGUGCAGGAAGAAGUCCUUCUGGUUUUAAACUGCUUUUGUACGGAACGAAACGGCUCUGGUUAAUACCCGGGGCUAAUGACGUUACCGUAAGAAUAAGCACCGGCUAACUACGUG
Molecule: ribosomal RNA, 482 nt
Filed under: uncultured bacterium
Lineage: Bacteria
Description: partial 16S ribosomal RNA
Rfam family: Bacterial small subunit ribosomal RNA
Source: RNAcentral